This is a long non-coding RNA of Myodes glareolus (Bank vole), 429 nucleotides long. RefSeq lists it as uncharacterized. The record is from RefSeq and is a predicted model, not a curated record. Lineage: Eukaryota; Metazoa; Chordata; Mammalia; Rodentia; Cricetidae.
GACAACCCAUUUCUUCUGGUGAUGAGUAGUGUUCCAUUGUCUAGCUCUGUCACGGUUUAUUCAGCUCCUGGAGGACAUCUUGGCUGCCUCUAAGCUUUGAAAACUAUGACCAAAGGUGUUAGAAACAUCCGCUAUGAAUUGCUCAUAUGGUGAAGCCUCACCAACCCAAUGGAAGCCUUGAGGAGAGGGAUGCCCCCUCUCCCUGCCCAUGGCUGUGUCUCGCCGAAGGCCUGAUGGAAAUGAACAUUGACUACUCUUAACUUUCCAAGUGAUUAUAACCAAAUCUGAGCAAAGGAAAGGAAACAAAUAAUUACAUCAAAGGAUCAGAGGAUCAGAGGAAAGAAAUAAAUGUGAUCAGCAUGGUAGUGGAGUCGGGUUGUCUGUUUAUUUGUUUGUUUGCAUUUGUUUUUGUUUUCCUUAUCUCUUGGC